AGAGUUUGAUCAUGGCUCAGAUUGAACGCUGGCGGAAUGCUUUACACAUGCAAGUCGAGCGGCAGCGCGGGGGCAACCCUGGCGGCGAGCGGCGAACGGGUGAGUAAUGUAUCGGAACGUACCCAGUCGUGGGGGAUAACUAUCCGAAAGGAUAGCUAAUACCGCAUACGUCCUGAGGGAGAAAGCGGGGGACCGAAAGGCCUCGCGCGAUUGGAGCGGCCGAUAUCGGAUUAGCUAGUUGGUGAGGUAAAGGCUCACCAAGGCGACGAUCAGUAGCGGGUCUGAGAGGAUGAUCCGUCACACUGGAACUGAGACACGGUCCAGACUCCUACGGGAGGCAGCAGUGGGGAAUUUUGGACAAUGGGGGCAACCCUGAUCCAGCCAUUCCGCGUGAGUGAAGAAGGCCUUCGGGUUGUAAAGCUCUUUCAGCCGGAACGAAACGGUACGCACUAAUAUUGUGUGCUAAUGACGGUACCGGCAGAAGAAGCACCGGCUAACUACGUGCCAGCAGCCGCGGUAAUACGUAGGGUGCGAGCGUUAAUCGGAAUUACUGGGCGUAAAGCGUGCGCAGGCGGAUUGUUAAGCAAGAUGUGAAAUCCCCGGGCUUAACCUGGGAAUGGCAUUUUGAACUGGCAGUCUAGAGUGUGUCAGAGGGGGGGUGGAAUUCCACGUGUAGCAGUGAAAUGCGUAGAUAUGUGGAGGAACACCAAUGGCGAAGGCAGCCCCCUGGGAUAACACUGACGCUCAUGUACGAAAGCGUGGGUAGCAAACAGGAUUAGAUACCCUGGUAGUCCACGCCCUAAACGAUGUCAACUGGUUGUUGGGGGGAGUGAAAUCCCUUAGUAACGAAGCUAACGCGUGAAGUUGACCGCCUGGGGAGUACGGUCGCAAGAUUAAAACUCAAAUGAAUUGACGG
RNAcentral lists this ribosomal RNA (916 nucleotides) under uncultured bacterium. Its description in RNAcentral is "bacterial SSU rRNA". It matches the Rfam family "Bacterial small subunit ribosomal RNA", at positions 8 to 916 of the family's 1533-position model. The record is from RNAcentral.